AUCUUCGAGUCUCUCUUCCCUCUUGGCACCUCACUGUAACAAAACCGAACCAGAACACCCACUCCCUCUCAUUCCUAAAGCAGCAAGCACACCUAAACUGAACUGCACCCGCUCCACACCUUCGGCCAAAUCAACCAUGUUAUAGAUUGCCUAACAGUUCAUUGUGUUUCAUCAUUUCCACCAGGUCCGUGGCGUUCCUAGGAAGGGGGGAUUACCCUUCCAUUGUUAUUCCCUUCCCCUUCCAGUCGUGCGUUCAUCAACAAAGAAAUGGAGAAUUCAUCGUUGUUACUUCCUUUUCUUCCAUAGUAGGUUCUGAGCAAGUUCUUCUUGGUGUGCGCAUGUCUUGGUUCGAUUUGAUGAGGACUUCCCCUGCAUGCAUAACCGAGUUUAAGUUCACAUCCACUCAUCCUUCUUCUUGUCUAGCCGAAACAACCCGCAACAAGGAGAAUCUAUCUUAAGGAGGUGCAUGGAACUCGAUUUUUGGAGCUCUUGGAGGGGAGAGGUUGAUGUCUCCUAAUCGAUUUGGCUAGUGUGUGUACCGCUAAGAGGUGCGCAUAAACCUCUAAGAACGUGGACUAUUCUGGUGCGGUUUGAAUUGUAUUUGGGCACGAAAGGUAUGUGUUUGGUGGUGAGACCUACUAUGACUAUUAGCUAGAGUAUGGAAUUUUGAACUGAUGCUCACAUGUCCCUUAUGAUUCGUAUUCUGUUAUAUGAUAUAUGAAAUCUGCCUUUGGACUUGUCUUGAUGGAAAAUUCUACCUAUGGAAGUGUUUUUUAUUCGGCAACUUGGUAUUAAAUAUACAAGAGAUAUAUGCUAUAUGAUUUAGUUAUGCAUUUGCACAUCAUGAUUCACCUGUGUCUGUUUGUGUGUGUGUCAAGCAUGUCAUAGCAUACAGAAUUAUGCA
Gastrolobium bilobum is the source of this 904-nucleotide long non-coding RNA. RefSeq lists it as uncharacterized. The record is from RefSeq and is a predicted model, not a curated record. Lineage: Eukaryota; Viridiplantae; Streptophyta; Magnoliopsida; Fabales; Fabaceae. The transcript is spliced from 3 exons.